This 614-nucleotide ribosomal RNA is filed under the name uncultured bacterium. RNAcentral's name for it is "bacterial SSU rRNA". It matches the Rfam family "Bacterial small subunit ribosomal RNA", at positions 28 to 638 of the family's 1533-position model. The record is from RNAcentral.
AGCGAACGCUGGCGGCGUGCUUAACACAUGCAAGUCGAACGCGCAGCAUUCUGUAGCAAUACAGGAUGUGGGCGCGUGGCGAACGGGUGCGUAACACGUGGAUAACCUUCCUUCAGGUGGGGAAUAACCCAGUGAAAACUGGGCUAAUACCGCAUAACAUGACGAUGGCACAUGCUGUUGUCUUCAAAGGCGCAAGUCGCCAGAAGAGGGAUCCGCGGCCGAUUAGCUUGUUGGCGAGGUAACGGCUCACCAAGGCAUUGAUCGGUAGCCGGACUGAGAGGUUGGCCGGCCACACUGGAACUGAGACACGGUCCAGACUCCUACGGGAGGCAGCAGUGGGGAAUCUUGCACAAUGGACGAAAGUCUGAUGCAGCAACGCCGCGUGGGGGAUGAAGCUUCUCGGAGUGUAAACCCCUUUCGACCCGGAAGAAUGCCCGCAAGGGUUUGACGGUACGGGUAUAAGAAGCCCCGGCUAACUACGUGCCAGCAGCCGCGGUAAUACGUAGGGGGCCAGCGUUGCUCGGAAUUACUGGGCGUAAAGGGUCUGUAGGCGGUGCGGCAAGUCGAUAGUGAAAUCCCUAGGCUUAACCUAGGGGCUGCUAGCGAAACUGCCG